AACGAACGCUGGCGGCAGGCCUAACACAUGCAAGUCGAGCGAGGACUUCGGUUCUAGCGGCGGACGGGUGCGUAACGCGUGGGAAUGUGCCCUUCUCUACGGAAUAGCCCUGGGAAACUGGGAGUAAUACCGGAUACGCCCUAUUGGGGAAAGAUUUAUCGGAGAAGGAUCAGCCCGCGUUGGAUUAGGUAGUUGGUGGGGUAAUGGCCUACCAAGCCGACGAUCCAUAGCUGGUUUGAGAGGAUGAUCAGCCACACUGGGACUGAGACACGGCCCAGACUCCUACGGGAGGCAGCAGUGGGGAAUCUUAGACAAUGGGGGCAACCCUGAUCCAGCCAUGCCGCGUGAGUGAUGAAGGCCUUAGGGUUGUAAAGCUCUUUCAGCUGGGAAGAUAAUGACGGUACCAGCAGAAGAAGCCCCGGCUAACUCCGUG
Molecule: ribosomal RNA, 433 nt
Filed under: uncultured bacterium
Lineage: Bacteria
Description: partial 16S ribosomal RNA
Rfam family: Bacterial small subunit ribosomal RNA
Source: RNAcentral